GAGGGUGCAGCGGUGGCCAAAGAAAGAAGAUGGGAAGAGAAGAGGAGGAUACGACGUAGAGGGAAGAGAAAACAGAGAAGAGAGAAGAGCGAGUUUACAGAAUUGCCCUUCAUGUUGUGCUGAAAAUUCAAUUUUGUCUUUGCAUUUUAAUGGAAAUUACAAAAUUGCCCAUGGUGUUAUAUUUGUGUCAUAAUUUGUGUGUUCAGUUAUCAUUUCUGAAUUUUUUUCUUUCUCUUUCUUCUCUCCCUCUCCCACUGCUUCCUUUCUCUCUCAUCUUCCACCAACCAACAACCCACUGUACCUCCUUCUCUCCGGCCAUCGACCACCGGCGACCACCACCAUCAACCUUCUCAUUUCGCGCCACCACCAUCAUCCCUCUUCUCUGAUCCACUCGGAUCUAUCACACCACCAUCACCACUAUCCCUUUUCUUUCUAUCCCCUUCAUUACUCCCAAAUAAUCUCGCCGACGUUGUUAAGAUCUGCUUCGCUCUCUUAAAGACCAGAUCUCACACCUCCGUUCUCUGUCGUCGUCGUUAAACUCGCCGUCGCCGAUAACCAAACGCAAAUUACCGGAAAGACAGAUGAAUAGGAAAACUAGAAUAAAAAAAGAUGGAAGGAGGUGGUGAUAAAUACAUCGGCGGCGAAGAGCGGAGGGGAGGGUGCAGCGGUGGCCAAAGAAAGAAGAUGGGAAGAGAAGAGGAGGAUACGAGGUAGAGGGAAGAGAAAACAGAGAAGAGAGAAGAGCGAGUUUACAGAAUUGCCCUUCAUGUUGUGCUGAAAAUUCAAUUUUGUCUUUGCAUUUUAAUGGAAAUUACAAAAUUGCCCAUGGUGUUGUAUUUGUGUCAUAAUUUGUGUGUUCAGUUAUC
Molecule: long non-coding RNA, 866 nt
Filed under: Medicago truncatula (barrel medic)
Lineage: Eukaryota; Viridiplantae; Streptophyta; Magnoliopsida; Fabales; Fabaceae
Description: long non-coding RNA (MTRU_LNC007954)
Source: RNAcentral